RNAcentral lists this RNase P RNA (362 nucleotides) under Desulfobulbaceae bacterium. RNAcentral's name for it is "RNase P RNA component class A". It matches the Rfam family "Bacterial RNase P class A". Rfam says of the family: Ribonuclease P (RNase P) is a ubiquitous endoribonuclease, found in archaea, bacteria and eukarya as well as chloroplasts and mitochondria. Its best characterised activity is the generation of mature 5'-ends of tRNAs by cleaving the 5'-leader elements of precursor-tRNAs. Cellular RNase Ps are ribonucleoproteins. The record is from RNAcentral. Lineage: Bacteria; Pseudomonadati; Thermodesulfobacteriota; Desulfobulbia; Desulfobulbales; Desulfobulbaceae.
CGGGGCGGGCGCAUGGUCGCUGGCGGGAGGUUUAUCACCGACGGCCGGAGGAAAGUCCGAACUCCGCGGGGCAGGGAGGUUCGUAACGCGAACCGGGGGUAACCCCAGGGAAAGUGCCACAGAAAAUAUACCGCCGGGCAACCGGUAAGGGUGAAAUGGCGAGGUAAGAGCUCACCGCUUGCCGGGUGACCGGCAAGGCAGGGUAAACCCCUCCCGGAGCAAGAUCAAAUAGGGAAACGUUUGAGGGCGGCCCGUCCGAAGUUUCCGGGUAGAUCGCAAGAGACAUCGGGCGACCGAUGUCCCUAGAGAAAUGACCAUGACCCGUCAGGGUACAGAAUUCGGCUUACAGCCCGCCCCGAUCC